RNAcentral lists this ribosomal RNA (1383 nucleotides) under Triticum aestivum (bread wheat). RNAcentral describes it as "partial small subunit ribosomal RNA". The record is from RNAcentral. Lineage: Eukaryota; Viridiplantae; Streptophyta; Magnoliopsida; Poales; Poaceae.
AUGAAUAAUCAAGGGAGCAAUGUUAAAAAAUUCCUUCAUGCUAAUGGACAUGUGGUUCUUGAAAGAGUGGAUAACAACUAUAAUCUAAGAUCUUUCACUCAAAAAGAGAUAGAAGACAUCACUGGUGGGUAUAGAAUUGUGCUGGGAGAAGGGGGCUUCGGUAAGGUUUACAAAGGAAAACUCGAUAAUCAUCGUCCAGUCGCAGUAAAGAUAUACAAAAAUGGAACCAAGAAAGAAGAGUUUGCCAAAGAGGUGAUAGUGCAUUCCCAGAUAAAUCACAAGAAUGUUGUCAGACUGUUUGGUUGCUGCACAGAGGUAAAUGCUCUUACAAUUGUUAUGGAGUUUGUAUGCAAUGGCAACCUCUACAACAUCCUUCACUGCUGCAGCAGCAAUGGUAAUGGUUCUAUACCCUUCCCUUUGGACAAGCGUUUGGACAUUGCCAUUGAGUCAGCUGAAGCAUUAUCAUGCAUGCAUUCAAUGUACAGUCCUAUUCUUCAUGGUGACAUUAAACCUGCUAACAUACUACUAGAUGAAAAUCUCCGGCCAAAGAUAUCGGAUUUUGGGAUAGCAAGAUUGCUUGCUGCUGAUGAGACACAACAUACCAGAUAUGUCAUUGGUUGCAUAGGUUACAUGGACCCUUUGUUUUGUCAGAGUGGGAGACUAACACCAAAGAAUGAUGUAUACAGUUUUGGAGUCGUUUUGCUGGAAAUCAUCACCCGAAAGAAAGCUGUGGAUGGGAACAUCAUCCUUGCUCAAACUUCUGCUGAAGCCCUGAGAAAAGGGAAAAAGAUGAGACAACUGUUUGAUGUGGAAAUUGCGAAUGACAAAAAGAACAUGAAAUUUCUUGAAGAUGUUGCAAAACUAGCAGCUGAGUGCUUAAAAAUGGAGGGCAAAAUGCGUCCUGAAAUGGUUGAAGUAGCGGAUAGACUUAGAACAAUUAGAAAAGCUUACCACCAGCGCAAGGGCAGAAGUUCUGCAGUUACCACUGCCACUGUCAACAACACUGACGGAAUUCCACCAUCAGUGGUACCAACCAUUUUCAUGGCUGAACUGAAGGAAAUAACUAGGAACUUUAGCAAUGAUGCUCUAAUAGGAGAGGGCUCAAACAAUAAAGUUUUUUUCGGAGUGCUGAAAGAUGGACAUAAAUCUGCGAUCAAGAAGCCUAGGCGGCCUAGUACAAAAAAUAACUUUUUGCGGGUUCCGAUGGUCUCAAGAUUCAAACAUGAAAUGUUAUCUAGCUUCUUGGAUACUGUGUUGAAGGAGACAACCACAUUCUUGCUUGUGAGUAUGCAUCCAGGGGAUCGUUGUACGAUAUUCUUCAUGGUAAGAAGAAUGUCAGGGGAGCCGAACCAGGACCGGUUCUAUCCUGGGCGCAGCGUGUGA